GAAAUAUAGGCUAAACCUCAAACCAUGGGCCUUCAAAGCCCAAACUGUGAACUAUUCACUAUUCUGCCCACUAAGAC
Molecule: transfer RNA, 77 nt
Filed under: Pholidoscelis auberi sabulicolor
Lineage: Eukaryota; Metazoa; Chordata; Lepidosauria; Squamata; Teiidae
Description: partial tRNA-Trp
Source: RNAcentral